UACGUAGGGUGCGAGCGUUAAUCGGAAUUACUGGGCGUAAAGCGCACGUAGGCGGCUUUGUAAGUUAGAGGUGAAAGCCCGGGGCUCAACCCCGGAAUUGCCUUUAAGACUGCAUCGCUUGAAUCCGGGAGAGGUGAGUGGAAUUCCGAGUGUAGAGGUGAAAUUCGUAGAUAUUCGGAAGAACACCAGUGGCGAAGGCGGCUCACUGGACCGGUAUUGACGCUGAGGUGCGAAAGCGUGGGGAGCAAACAGG
RNAcentral lists this ribosomal RNA (253 nucleotides) under uncultured bacterium. RNAcentral describes it as "partial 16S ribosomal RNA". It matches the Rfam family "Bacterial small subunit ribosomal RNA", at positions 524 to 776 of the family's 1533-position model. The record is from RNAcentral.